AGAGUUUGAUCCUGGCUCAGGAUGAACGCUAGCGGCAGGCUUAACACAUGCAAGUCGAGGGGCAGCGCGGGGCGGCAACGUCCUGGCGGCGACCGGCGGAAGGGUGCGUAACGCGUGAGCGACAUGCCCGUUGCCCGGGGACAACCGGUGGAAACGCCGACUAAUCCCCGAUGGGAUACGAUGCUUCAUGGCAUUGUAUUGAAAGUUACGGCGGCGACGGAUUGGCUCGCGUCCGAUUAGCUUGUUGGCGGGGUAACGGCCCACCAAGGCUGCGAUCGGUAGGGGUUCUGAGAGGAAGGCCCCCCACAAUGGGACUGAGACACGGCCCAUACUCCUACGGGAGGCAGCAGUGAGGAAUAUUGGUCAAUGGGCGGAAGCCUGAACCAGCCAUGCCGCGUGCGGGAAGGAGGCCCUAUGGGCUGUGAACCGCUUUUGCCUGGGGGCAAUAAGGGCGUCGCGCACGUCCGAUGAGAGUACCAGGCCAAUAAGCAUCGGCUAACUCCGUGCCAGCAGCCGCGGUAAUACGGGGGAUGCGAGCGUUAUCCGGAUUCAUUGGGUUUAAAGGGUGCGUAGGCUGUGCGUCAAGUCGGGGGUGAAAUUCCGGUGCUCAACACCGGGGCUGCCCUUGAUACUGUCGCGCUGGAGUGCGGAUGCCGCCGGAGGAAUGAGUGGUGUAGCGGUGAAAUGCUUAGAUAUCACUCAGAACACCGAUUGCGAAGGCAUCUGGCGAAUCCGUAACUGACGCUGAGGCACGAAAGCGUGGGGAUAGAACAGGAUUAGAUACCCUGGUAUUCCACGCCGUAAACGAUGAUGGCUAACCGCCGGCGACAGACUGUCGGU
RNAcentral lists this ribosomal RNA (840 nucleotides) under uncultured bacterium. RNAcentral describes it as "bacterial SSU rRNA". It matches the Rfam family "Bacterial small subunit ribosomal RNA", at positions 8 to 844 of the family's 1533-position model. The record is from RNAcentral.